CGGGCUACGGGCGCCUGCCGCGCAGGAAGAGGGAGUCUGUGGCCCACAUGAGCUUCAAGGCGGCCGCAGCCCUCCUGCGUGGGCGCUCUGUCCUGGAGCCACUGGCUCCCAAGCAGAGGAGCAAGAGGAGCUUCCUGUACCCCAGCUUCAUGGACGAGGACAUGGUGGAUGCUGCUGAUACCCUGGACUCGUCCUUCUUCAGUAAGAUGGACAUGCACGAUGAGACGUACUCCAUGCCCGAUGACGUCUUUGAGUCGCCUCCUCUGUCAGCCACGUACCUACGCAUGCACCAGGUGGCAGAGGAAGCCAGGGUGUCCCCUGAGGUGGAGCAGCCCAUCCCGUGAGUACCAACCCUCAGCAGGCCUUGUCCCCAAGGCUGCCCAGGUGCCCUGCUGCAGGCAGGACAGUGUCCCCAUGAGCACCGGGCACUUCCAUGAUGAUCCUGGGAGCCAGGAGGUGCUCAGAGCCCCAG
Molecule: long non-coding RNA, 472 nt
Filed under: Zonotrichia albicollis (white-throated sparrow)
Lineage: Eukaryota; Metazoa; Chordata; Aves; Passeriformes; Passerellidae
Description: lncRNA (ENSZALG00000015139.1)
Source: RNAcentral